CCUACGGGGGGCUGCAGUGGGGAAUAUUGGACAAUGGGGGGAACCCUGAUCCAGCCAUGCCGCGUGUGUGAAGAAGGCCCUCGGGUUGUAAAGCACUUUCAGUGAGGAAGAACGCCUGGUGGUUAAUACCCAUCAGGAACGACAUCACUCACAGAAGAAGCACCGGCUAACUCCGUGCCAGCAGCCGCGGUAAUACGGAGGGUGCGAGCGUUAAUCGGAAUUACUGGGCGUAAAGCGCGCGUAGGUGGCUUGAUAAGCCGGUUGUGAAAGCCCCGGGCUCAACCUGGGAACGGCAUCCGGAACUGUCAAGCUAGAGUGCAGGAGAGGAAGGUAGAAUUCCCGGUGUAGCGGUGAAAUGCGUAGAGAUCGGGAGGAAUACCAGUGGCGAAGGCGGCCUUCUGGACUGACACUGACACUGAGGUGCGAAAGCGUGGGUAGCAAACAGGAUUAGAUACCCCUGUAGUC
Molecule: ribosomal RNA, 465 nt
Filed under: Vreelandella stevensii
Lineage: Bacteria; Pseudomonadati; Pseudomonadota; Gammaproteobacteria; Oceanospirillales; Halomonadaceae
Description: partial 16S ribosomal RNA
Rfam family: Bacterial small subunit ribosomal RNA
Source: RNAcentral